AUGAGGUCUGUUGUGGAUCAGCUAUGGCCGGAAAGGCCAAAACCGAACAGCUAUUUCAGCUUGGUGCCGCAGUUCCUUGACGUGGUGCCGCGCAUUAAUGCGAUGAAGAGGUCGGCGUGCAUAGAGGGCUCACGGAUGGCCUUUGCCCGUGUUAAAGCAUACUGGGCGGAGAUGGAUGCCACCACUGUUGCAGCGCAGGAUUCGGCCAUAGGUCGAAUGGCUGCUGAGCACUACUUUGAAGAACUUCUUGAGGGUGCUCGUUUGAUAGGGACCCAGUGCUCAAAAAAUAUUAUGUUUGAGUGA
RNAcentral lists this ribosomal RNA (303 nucleotides) under Triticum aestivum (bread wheat). RNAcentral's name for it is "partial small subunit ribosomal RNA". Lineage: Eukaryota; Viridiplantae; Streptophyta; Magnoliopsida; Poales; Poaceae. The record is from RNAcentral.